Capsella rubella is the source of this 1381-nucleotide long non-coding RNA. RefSeq lists it as uncharacterized. The transcript has 2 exons. Lineage: Eukaryota; Viridiplantae; Streptophyta; Magnoliopsida; Brassicales; Brassicaceae. The record is from RefSeq and is a predicted model, not a curated record.
UGGCUGCUCUCAGCGGCUCUACCUACUAACGGAUCCGCAUCUCCGAUAAGUAAUAAUCUCUGCUUAAUGUUUCAUCAUCAAAUCACGAUUUUUAUAUGAGAAUCGAUGUGAUAUUUUUAGAGUUUUAUUGGGAGUAUUGAGUUAAAGUCUGAAGUUGAUGUUUGCUUUGCUUAGGCAUGUUAGUGUUCGUGAUGGUAGUUACAGUACUUGUAGUUGAAGGUGUUUAGGAAGUUUGUUUCAGUUGGGGAUGUAAUGGGAUAGAUAUAGGUGUAUACAAAGGACUUCUUGAAGAUGAGAGAAUCUGGAGAGAGUGAGGAAGCAAAAUUACAACAAAUUGCUUAUUCGUGUGGACGACAUCACUAGGGAUGACUUUAAAUUGAAAGAACUUGGGGAAGAGAACCAUUUUGAACAUGUCCAGAACUCACAAGCUUCAUUGAGUAUUAUCUCUUGAGUAUAAGGGAUGGAUGUCUUCUCCUGACAGCGUCUGCAGUAGUGCCCACCGAAGCAAGAAGUUUUGCUACUUUCAGUAAUUCAACCGAGCUGCUAGAGCAAACCAAGAUGAGUGAAGAUGAGUCCAUUCCAAUGCUUCUCAGUCUUCAACUCCAUCAUCACAGUCCAAUUGCGGUGGCAUCUUAGACUCUGAUCAGCAAGUAUCAGCAGAGGCGGUGAUCGGAAGUAAUGAUGAUUGGAGAUUAGAAGUUACAGCUGAUGAUUCACAGCCGUUAGUGGAGGAUCCAGAACUCGUAUCUGGGGAAGCAAAGAAGAUAUGAAGGGAACAAUUGAAGUUCAAAGUGAUGAGGCUUCUCCUCCAACACAGACACAGACUCGAGUCACAACUCACAAGAGGUAAAAAUGCUAUGGACACUGUCAGUUCUCAAGUGCAUGGAGAUGAAAAUAGAUGGUCGAGGCAUUGCUGACAACAAGUACUUGUGGAUAAUUAACUUCCCAAUAAACUAUAAAAUGAAGAAAUGUUAAAGUUACAUCAACAACUCUUUACAACCAUUUUGUAUAGGGAGGUUAGCAUUGCAGAGCAGGUGGCUUAUCUAAUCAACAAGACCACAAGCGUUUAUAAUCUCUGCAACUUAACCAACAGGGCGCUUCAAGACUCUGAGGGAGGCCACAUCAGGUAUAACUGAAGACACAUUUGGUAUCUCAUGAAGUUGUUGCACUCAACCAGCCAUUGGUGCUAGAAAGCAGGCUCAAAAGUUUGAAAACGGGCAUGUAUACAAAAAGAGUUCAAGAUUCAACAUUGUGUCUGUCUUAUCCAAAGUACGAUCUUUGGUUUCCAAGAGACAGAUCCAUUUAAUUACUGUUUGUAAUAGAGAAAGCUUGCUUCAGUUCCAUUUAGAGUGAUAAAUUUACUGACUCAUUAUCAUGACUA